This 495-nucleotide long non-coding RNA is filed under the name Androctonus crassicauda. Lineage: Eukaryota; Metazoa; Arthropoda; Arachnida; Scorpiones; Buthidae. The record is from RNAcentral.
GUAAUGAUUCAAAUAGAAUUGUGGAUGAAAAUUAGCAGUUUAUAUUUUUGUAGAUUCGUAACAACAAUUAUAUUGCGGAAUUGUAUUUAGACAACAUACCCACUCAUUUGUGCAUGUAAUAUCAUGUUCGAGAGUGCAGAGAUAAUGAUUAGAUUUUUUAAUAAAUAUAGAUUUUCAUAUUAUAUGACGAGUCUAAUUGAAAAAUGCCUCAGUUUUAUUACUUGGCUUGCCUAGUGUUUAAUUAUACUACGGGAAAUGGACUUGCACCACUUUCAUAAUAAAUGAUUAUGCUGUUUGGUUUACCAACAGAUUUUCGAUUGAUCAAAGCAUAUGGAAAUUUUAAUAUAUACACUGUAAAAUGUCUACAAAUAAAAGUUCACACUAAAUUAUACCUAAAUUAUUGUUUUCUCAAUUUUUUCCAAAAAUGGACUUACACCACUUUCAAAAUAAACAGUCCAAAUAUUGCUGAUUUCAAAUGGCAUUUGCACAGAUUGC